AUAUAUAUAUAUAUAUAUAUAUAUAUAUAUAUAUAUAUAUAUAUUUGUUCCUGCAGCCAGAGUACAGCUCUAUAUCUGUCAACACAUUCUUACAAAUCAAUGCAUUAUUAUAUCCUUCACUUAGGUUUCAUUUGGUUUAAACAUGCUAUUCUUUUUUUUUUUUAAUUAAUUUUUUGGACAUAAAUGUAGAAAAUAUUUACUUUUAGAACUUUUAUAUUCUCCCUUUUAAAAACAAGAAAAAUUUGUAUCGUUGUUAAAUUAUUUUGAUACUAAAUAUACAAGCGCAAAUGAAAUUUGUAACUUGAUAAAAAAAAAAAUUUGAUAAUAUUUAUGUACGUAAAUUAAAAAAAAAUAGUAACAGAGAAAUUGACUUUCCAUUUAUCUUUAUAUUUCUUUACAAUUGAACUUAAUAAGUUUAUAUCUUCAACUAAAAUAAAAAACAAGUCAAAUAUCAUUAAGUUAAUAAGAGAGUUAUAAUGAUAUUGUUGAUGAUAUUAUGAAUUAAAAUUUCUUUUUUUAUUUUUAAAUUUCAGGUUGCAGGCUCAACUCAGACAAGCUUUGGAUACUCACAAUUAUAAUAAUAUUAUUGAUGUCAAAUUACAAAAUAAUUAUAGAAAAAUAGAAAUGAUUCGAAUGAUUCGUUGUGCUGCAGCUUGUGUAUAUAAACCUACAAAAUAUCGUCCAAAAAUGAGUCAGAUUGUUCUAGUCUUGCAAGGAAAAUUGGCAUCGGAAAGUAUAUGGCUAAACAGCGACAACAAUUUCCUUAAGGAUGCGCAUCAACAGGAUCAGUCAUGGGGAUCAUACACAAGGUCUGCGAAUGAUUAUGUGGCUUGAUUAUCGUUAUUGUCUGAUUUUCUGUUUCCAUGCGGCUCGUGUGACGCCUCUUACUUGCCCACUGUAUAGCCGAGCAAGAAGUGCCACAUUCGGUGCCCGAGCACCCUAUCUUGUUUUAUCAUAUCUAUUGUAAGCUUUCAAUAUCAUUUAAAAGUAGUAAUCCAUGUGUAUAAUUUUUUUUUUUUUAUAACUUAUUUCUGUGAAGACCCGGACAGAGCCUCUCCUGUUUUAUUAGCAUCUGGCGGGUUCCACUAAUUACCUGUUAACAUGUCUAUAUUCAUUUCACACAUUUCCAUAUCAUAUUCUGUUGUAUCAUAUCAUUUACAAUUAUUUAUGAGAUCUAAAAAUGAAGUAUUAUCUAUUGCAUUAAUUUAGAAAUUCAUAGAAAAUAAAUUACAAGUUUUCA
Hevea brasiliensis (rubber tree) is the source of this 1240-nucleotide RNA transcript. RefSeq lists it as uncharacterized. The transcript is spliced from 2 exons. NCBI's taxonomy places the organism in Eukaryota, Viridiplantae, Streptophyta, Magnoliopsida, Malpighiales, Euphorbiaceae. The record is from RefSeq and is a predicted model, not a curated record.